GUCGAGCGAAUCGAUGGGAGCUUGCUCCCUGAGAUUAGCGGCGGACGGGUGAGUAACACGUGGGCAACCUGCCUAUAAGACUGGGAUAACUUCGGGAAACCGGAGCUAAUACCGGAUACGUUCUUUUCUCGCAUGAGAGAAGAUGGAAAGACGGUUUACGCUGUCACUUAUAGAUGGGCCCGCGGCGCAUUAGCUAGUUGGUGAGGUAAUGGCUCACCAAGGCGACGAUGCGUAGCCGACCUGAGAGGGUGAUCGGCCACACUGGGACUGAGACACGGCCCAGACUCCUACGGGAGGCAGCAGUAGGGAAUCUUCCGCAAUGGACGAAAGUCUGACGGAGCAACGCCGCGUGAACGAAGAAGGCCUUCGGGUCGUAAAGUUCUGUUGUUAGGGAAGAACAAGUACCAGAGUAACUGCUGGUACCUUGACGGUACCUAACCAGAAAGCCACGGCUAACUACGUGCCAGCAGCCGCGGUAAUACGUAGGUGGCAAGCGUUGUCCGGAAUUAUUGGGCGUAAAGCGCGCGCAGGUGGUUCCUUAAGUCUGAUGUGAAAGCCCACGGCUCAACCGUGGAGGGUCAUUGGAAACUGGGGAACUUGAGUGCAGAAGAGGAAAGUGGAAUUCCAAGUGUAGCGGUGAAAUGCGUAGAGAUUUGGAGGAACACCAGUGGCGAAGGCGACUUUCUGGUCUGUAACUGACACUGAGGCGCGAAAGC
Molecule: ribosomal RNA, 716 nt
Filed under: Bacillus sp. FJAT-4607
Lineage: Bacteria; Bacillati; Bacillota; Bacilli; Caryophanales; Bacillaceae
Description: bacterial SSU rRNA
Rfam family: Bacterial small subunit ribosomal RNA
Source: RNAcentral